AUGGAUGUUAACCCGGCCAAUGCUAAGCCGCCAAGUCCCAUCAAGCCUACUGAAGAAAAGGCUGAAGACGUUGUUGUCACCGAGGUUGGUUAUACAGAGCCGGGCAACCCCAUUGUCUUAUCUAAACACAACGCUAAAGAGGAAUUUUCAGCUGCUGAAAAAGGCAAGUGGAAGUUGGAUUUGGGAAGCUAUGCCCAGUUCAACGCCCAUGAGAUUCAUGCGGGCUAUUUGAACCGCCUUCACACCAGUCGCGGCUUUGAAGCUGGCCUGGUUAACCUCAUGAAGGAGCGUUUUGAGGCUGAAUUAAAUAUGAAAGAAUCUCAAGUCACCGAUCUGCGGCAAAACAUCAAAUCCCAACAAUCAGAGACUUCGAAGGCCAUGUCAGAGCUGAAAACCGCCUUAGAAGAGACUGAAAACUGA
RNAcentral lists this ribosomal RNA (420 nucleotides) under Triticum aestivum (bread wheat). RNAcentral's name for it is "partial small subunit ribosomal RNA". Lineage: Eukaryota; Viridiplantae; Streptophyta; Magnoliopsida; Poales; Poaceae. The record is from RNAcentral.